RNAcentral lists this ribosomal RNA (484 nucleotides) under uncultured bacterium. RNAcentral's name for it is "partial 16S ribosomal RNA". It matches the Rfam family "Bacterial small subunit ribosomal RNA", at positions 30 to 507 of the family's 1533-position model. The record is from RNAcentral.
AUUGAACGCUGGCGGCAGGCCUAACACAUGCAAGUCGAGCGGAUGAAGGGAGCUUGCUCCUGGAUUCAGCGGCGGACGGGCGAGUAAUGCCUAGGAAUCUGCCUGGUAGUGGGGGAUAACGUCCGGACACGGGCGCUAAUACCGCAUACGUCCUGAGGGAGAAAGUGGGGGAUCUUCGGACCUCACGCUAUCAGAUGAGCCUAGGUCGGAUUAGCUAGUUGGCGGGGUAAAGGCCUACCAAGGCGACGAUCCGUAACUGGUCUGAGAGGAUGAUCAGUCACACUGGAACUGAGACACGGUCCAGACUCCUACGGGAGGCAGCAGUGGGGAAUAUUGGACAAUGGGCGAAAGCCUGAUCCAGCCAUGCCGCGUGUGUGAAGAAGGUCUUCGGAUUGUAAAGCACUUUAAGUUGGGAAGAAGAGCAGUAAGUUAAUACCUUGCUGUUUUGACGUUACCAACAGAAUAAGCACCGGCUAACUUCGUG